Molecule: long non-coding RNA, 379 nt
Filed under: Setaria viridis
Lineage: Eukaryota; Viridiplantae; Streptophyta; Magnoliopsida; Poales; Poaceae
Description: long non-coding RNA (SVIR_LNC004781)
Source: RNAcentral
GUCAGUCAUGACGAAUCUACGAGCUUAACUCACAUCUGACUUUCUGUUGACAACCAAAAUUGGCAAACCUGGUCAGACCUGUCCAAACUGGUCUCCCAACCGGUCAGACCGAUUUGGUCAAAGUCCUCCAAAUGCAAAUUGGACUUCACUAUUGUGUAGCUCUCGUCAAGUGGAUCAAAAUUCAUAUAUAGAACGUCCGAUAUGGAGUUUGAAUGAGAGAGUUAUGACUUCGGAAAGAUCUGCCCCCGAGGAGACACGUCAGACUGGUUUGCAAACCGAUCAGACCGGUUUGGGUCCGUAGAGUCCAAGUACAAGUUCUAUAUUUUUGCACGAGAUUUGUAAGAGUUUUGACUACACUAGUGGCAAGACCUCCCCUCCC